GCUGGGUGUGGUGGCGCGCGCCUGUAAUCCCAGCUACUCAGGAGGCUGAGGCAGGAGAAUCACUUGAACCCGGGAGGCGGAGUUUGCAGUGAGCCGAGAUCGUGCCACUGCACUCCAGCCUGGGUGACAGAGUGAGACUCUGUCUCAA
This is an unclassified non-coding RNA of Pongo abelii (Sumatran orangutan), 148 nucleotides long. It matches the Rfam family "Metazoan signal recognition particle RNA". From Rfam's summary of the family: The signal recognition particle (SRP) is a universally conserved ribonucleoprotein. It is involved in the co-translational targeting of proteins to membranes. The eukaryotic SRP consists of a 300-nucleotide 7S RNA and six proteins: SRPs 72, 68, 54, 19, 14, and 9. Lineage: Eukaryota; Metazoa; Chordata; Mammalia; Primates; Hominidae. The record is from Ensembl.